This 253-nucleotide ribosomal RNA is filed under the name uncultured bacterium. Its description in RNAcentral is "partial 16S ribosomal RNA". It matches the Rfam family "Bacterial small subunit ribosomal RNA", at positions 524 to 776 of the family's 1533-position model. The record is from RNAcentral.
UACGAAGGGUGCUAGCGUUGUUCGGAAUUACUGGGCGUAAAGCGUGCGCAGGCGGCUUCUCAAGUCAGGGGUGAAAGCCCAGAGCUCAACUCUGGAAUUGCCUUUGAGACUGAGUGGCUUGAGUACGAGAGAGGUGAGUGGAAUUCCCAGUGUAGAGGUGAAAUUCGUAGAUAUUGGGAAGAACACCGGUGGCGAAGGCGGCUCACUGGCUCGUAACUGACGCUCAUGCACGACAGCGUGGGGAUCAAACAGG